AUUGAACGCUGGCGGCAUGCUUUACACAUGCAAGUCGAACGGUAACAGCACUUCGGUGGCUGACGAGUGGCGAACGGGUGAGUAAUACAUCGGAACGUGCCUAGUAGUGGGGGAUAACUACUCGAAAGAGUAACUAAUACCGCAUGAGAUCUAAGGAUGAAAGCAGGGGACCUUCGGGCCUUGCGCUACUAGAGCGGCUGAUGGCAGAUUAGGUAGUUGGUGGGAUAAAAGCUUACCAAGCCGACGAUCUGUAGCUGGUCUGAGAGGACGACCAGCCACACUGGGACUGAGACACGGCCCAGACUCCUACGGGAGGCAGCAGUGGGGAAUUUUGGACAAAGGGCGCAAGCCUGAUCCAGCAAUGCCGCGUGCAGGAUGAAGGCCUUCGGGUUGUAAACUGCUUUUGUACGGAACGAAAAGCCCUCUUCUAAUACAGGAGGGUCAUGACGGUACCGUAAGAAUAAGCACCGGCUAACUACGUG
Molecule: ribosomal RNA, 482 nt
Filed under: uncultured bacterium
Lineage: Bacteria
Description: partial 16S ribosomal RNA
Rfam family: Bacterial small subunit ribosomal RNA
Source: RNAcentral